RNAcentral lists this ribosomal RNA (782 nucleotides) under Meloidogyne hispanica. RNAcentral describes it as "SSU rRNA". It matches the Rfam family "Eukaryotic small subunit ribosomal RNA", at positions 915 to 1721 of the family's 1831-position model. The record is from RNAcentral. Lineage: Eukaryota; Metazoa; Nematoda; Chromadorea; Rhabditida; Meloidogynidae.
AAUUCUUGGACCGUGGCCAGACAAACUACAGCGAAAGCAUUUGCCAAGAAUGUUUUUAUUAAUCAAGAACGAAAGUCAGAGGUUCGAAGGCGAUCAGAUACCGCCCUAGUUCUGACCGUAAACGAUGCCAACUAGCGAUCCGCCGAUGGAAAUUAUAUUGCCUUGGUGGGGAGCUUCCCGGAAACGAAAGUCUUCCGGUUCCGGGGGAAGUAUGGUUGCAAAGCUGAAACUUAAAGGAAUUGACGGAAGGGCACCACCAGGAGUGGAGCCUGCGGCUUAAUUUGACUCAACACGGGGAAACUCACCCGGCCCGGACACUGUGAGGAUUGACAGAUUGAUAGCUUUUUCAUGAUUCAGUGGAUGGUGGUGCAUGGCCGUUCUUAGUUCGUGGAGUGAUUUGUCUGGUUUAUUCCGAUAACGAGCGAGACUCUAACCUACUAAAUAGUUGGUGCAUACUCUUUGUGUAUACAGCUUCUUAGAGGGAUUUGCGGCGUUCAGCCGAAAGAAAUUGAGCAAUAACAGGUCUGUGAUGCCCUUAGAUGUCCGGGGCUGCACGCGCGCUACACUGGCAAAAUCAACGUGCUUGUCCUACCCUGAAAGGGGCGGGUAAACCAUUGAAAAUUUGCCGUGAUUGGGAUCGGAAAUUGCAAUUAUUUUCCGUGAACGAGGAAUUCCAAGUAAGUGCGAGUCAUCAGCUCGCGUUGAUUACGUCCCUGCCCUUUGUACACACCGCCCGUCGCUGCCCGGGACUGAGCCAUUUCGAGAAAUUUGGGGACCGUUGA